AAUUGUCUCAUUAAGCUAAUAAUUUUGAAAAUCCCAGUUUAGUCCUUCGAAAUACAAUUUUAAAACUAACUGUAAUACAUUAAAUUAAUAUAAUAUACAGAACCAAUUAAUUUUUUUUUUUUUUAAAUCCCCAAAUCAAAACCCCUAACCCUAAUUAUUUCAGUCUCAUUCUCUAGGCCUCUCUAAUUCUGGUGGCGACAAAGUCAACAGGUCUCUAUUGGUGGGGAGAAGAAGAUACCGACUCAAAUCUCUUCUUCUCCGGCGUAAAUCUCUUCUUCUCCGGCUUAAUCUCUUAUUCUCUCAUGUAAAACGAAGCGCAGACACUAGAAGAUAUGUAAUUUGGCACUAAUCCUGGUACUAUCGGGUUAAUGGGUCAGUUCACCAAACCGUUGGAUCAUCUGAGUUUGUACUUAUGAAGAUAAGGAAGGAGAUUGGAUGCUCGUUGGUGAUGUUCCAUGGAGAAUGCUCAUCACCUCGGUUAAAAGGAUUCGUGUGAUGAAAACGUCUGAAGCUAAUGGUCUAGACUAUCUUGUCUUGACUUAUGAUAUUGUUUGUUGAAACAUAUAAUGAAAAAAUCUUAGUAUAUAAUAUGCAGGAUACUUGUGAAGCAAGUAAAAGGAAGAAACAGAAGCUAGGUUGAUCUUAUUCAGUUUGUGAUGUUUCUUUGGUUCUUCUAAUGUUCUUUAAGGGUUUUUUUUGGCUUGAUGUCUUUUGUUUUACUGUUGCUAUUACUAUGGAAGAGAAUGCUCUUUAUUUGUUUUACUACACUGUAAAUAUUUGAAGCUU
Long non-coding RNA from Brassica rapa (field mustard), 786 nucleotides. RefSeq lists it as uncharacterized. NCBI's taxonomy places the organism in Eukaryota, Viridiplantae, Streptophyta, Magnoliopsida, Brassicales, Brassicaceae. The record is from RefSeq and is a predicted model, not a curated record.